GACUGGGUGGCUGAAAGAUGGCUGGAAAGCGCAUUUAGCCAACCGAGCCUGCGCAUGGAACCUGCGGCGCUGCACAGCUGCAUAGAGAUGUGGAGCACCUCCCUUUACCGUAGAAAGUAGGCGAGCCAGCUCGAGGCACUAUACUGAGGAAGCGCUGCGGCCUACUUCCGCCGUUUUUCUUAACAUCAAAGAAACUUCCGGUAGUGGGGUGUCUUGCAUUCCACCGUGUCGGUGCCCCAGAAUGAGACGCAAGCUGAUCUGCAGAUCCCGCAGGGUGCCUUCUGCUCUUUUCGGGGCAGGUUGGCCGGUAGGGGAGAAGGCCGCCAUUGGAACGCGGCCUUUAUGUCGGGUUCUCUCAAGAGUCUAAGAUCGCACCCUCACCAGCGGAGGGAAGGAGCCCACUCCCAGCCACACCGCUUUGUUUUCUUUCGCUUAGCCUUGUUGCGCCGUUCUCUAAGCCACUCAUGUCCUUAGAUCAGAUUGAGGGGCCCGCAGGAUUUAAGCCUUUAAUCCACAGCACAUUCCAAGCACCUACCCGGUGGUAGGCCCUAACAAGGAACACAGGCAAGUGACACGCUGCCUGGCCUGAAAGGUCCGCUCAGACCUUUACAUGAAGUUAAUAAAUGUUAAGCUUCAGGGCCCCUCGCUUGUAUGGCCUCCUGGGAGAAUAGAUAGUUGCUGAGUUGUGGAGAGGGGAAGCCAGCUUGAGAUUAGGAAGCAAAUCUAUGUAAGCAUUUCUAAUAAAUUACCCAGAGAGAUCUAAGGAGAAUCUGAAUCUCCAAGUCUCUAGUAAUGUGUUGUGAUUUGUCGUUUUAAUUAUUUGUUUUGUGUAUUUGUAGGGCCCCCCAAUGGUAUAUAAGUUUCACCUCUGCAAAACCUGGAUC
This 884-nucleotide long non-coding RNA is filed under the name Homo sapiens (human). RNAcentral's name for it is "non-protein coding lnc-ZCCHC10-3:1". Lineage: Eukaryota; Metazoa; Chordata; Mammalia; Primates; Hominidae. The record is from RNAcentral.